RNAcentral lists this ribosomal RNA (644 nucleotides) under uncultured marine bacterium. RNAcentral's name for it is "bacterial SSU rRNA". It matches the Rfam family "Bacterial small subunit ribosomal RNA", at positions 8 to 634 of the family's 1533-position model. The record is from RNAcentral.
AGAGUUUGAUCCUGGCUCAGGACGAACGCUGGCGGCGUGCCUAAUACAUGCAAGUCGAGCGAAUCGAUGGGAGCUUGCUCCCUGAGAUUAGCGGCGGACGGGUGAGUAACACGUGGGCAACCUGCCUAUAAGACUGGGAUAACUUCGGGAAACCGGAGCUAAUACCGGAUACGUUCUUUUCUCGCAUGAGAGAAGAUGGAAAGACGGUUUACGCUGUCACUUAUAGAUGGGCCCGCGGCGCAUUAGCUAGUUGGUGAGGUAAUGGCUCACCAAGGCGACGAUGCGUAGCCGACCUGAGAGGGUGAUCGGCCACACUGGGACUGAGACACGGCCCAGACUCCUACGGGAGGCAGCAGUAGGGAAUCUUCCGCAAUGGACGAAAGUCUGACGGAGCAACGCCGCGUGAACGAAGAAGGCCUUCGGGUCGUAAAGUUCUGUUGUUAGGGAAGAACAAGUACCAGAGUAACUGCUGGUACCUUGACGGUACCUAACCAGAAAGCCACGGCUAACUACGUGCCAGCAGCCGCGGUAAUACGUAGGUGGCAAGCGUUGUCCGGAAUUAUUGGGCGUAAAGCGCGCGCAGGUGGUUCCUUAAGUCUGAUGUGAAAGCCACGCUCACCUGAGGUGGAGGGUCAUUGGAAACU